GAUGAAGAACGUAGCGAAAUGCGAUAAGUAAUGUGAAUUGCAGAAUUCAGUGAAUCAUCGAAUCUUUGAACGCACAUUGCGCCCCCUGGUAUUCCGGGGGGCAUGCCUGUCCGAGCGUCAUUACAACCCUCAAGCUCUGCUUGGUGUUGGGCCCCGCCGCCCCGGCGGGCCCUAAAGUCAGUGGCGGUGCCAUCCGGCUCCGAGCGUAGUAAUUCUUCUCGCUCUGGAGGUCCGGUUGUGUGCUUGCCAUCAACCCCCAAUUUUUUUCAGGUUGACCUCGGAUCAGGUAGGGAUACCCGCUGAACUUAAGCAUAUCAAUAAGCGGAGGA
This 329-nucleotide unclassified non-coding RNA is filed under the name soil metagenome. RNAcentral describes it as "partial contains 5.8S ribosomal RNA, internal transcribed spacer 2, and large subunit ribosomal RNA". The stretch from base 1 to 120 matches the Rfam family "5.8S ribosomal RNA", at positions 35 to 154 of the family's 154-position model. The record is from RNAcentral.